CAGCAGCCGCGGUAAUACGUAGGGUGCAAGCGUUAAUCGGAAUUACUGGGCGUAAAGCGUGCGCAGGCGGUUAUAUAAGACAGAUGUGAAAUCCCCGGGCUCAACCUGGGAACUGCAUUUGUGACUGUAUAGCUAGAGUACGGCAGAGGGGGAUGGAAUUCCGCGUGUAGCAGUGAAAUGCGUAGAUAUGCGGAGGAACACCGAUGGCGAAGGCAAUCCCCUGGGCCUGUACUGACGCUCAUGCACGAAAGCGUGGGGAGCAAACAGGAUUAGAUACCCGUGUAGUCCCUGUCUCUUAUAA
RNAcentral lists this ribosomal RNA (301 nucleotides) under uncultured bacterium. Its description in RNAcentral is "partial 16S ribosomal RNA". It matches the Rfam family "Bacterial small subunit ribosomal RNA", at positions 509 to 809 of the family's 1533-position model. The record is from RNAcentral.